GUACUGAAGGCUUUGAUGGGAGAAAGCAUCUCAUUUCCCAUUUCUGAGUAAGUGGGAGCCAGCAGCUGACCUUCCAGCAGAUGAGAGCAGGGAGUCCAACGUUCUCCUUCAGUAAGUCUAUUGUGAAUGGACUGUGCAACCAGAGUAUCCCUGUUCAGAAUCCCAGCAUGUGUAUCCAAAUCUGACAUCCAUUUCCAGGAGCAAAUAUUUGCCACUGAAGCUUAAGAUGUUAUUUCACAGUGGAAAUCGUAUCAGCCAAUUUUAGAAGAGUUUAAAGCUCGUGACAUUUCCUGUCUCUUUUGGGAAAUUUGUGUAUGCUAAAAAAAAAAAUAUUCUUAAGAAUCAGAAUCAAUUUCGUCCCAAAAUAACAUCAAUUUUUUGCCUUCUCUUCAUAACUUCUGAUGUUGACAGUCACUUAUGCUUGAGGAUAAAGACAUCAGCCCGAAGGGGGAAAAAGCAGAUGUGGAAAAAAUUUGUAAGAUUUGAAAAAGUGCCCCUGUAUUAAAUUUCUGAUUCUGCUGUGAAGGAUCUUCUCAUGAUGAGUGAAAGGAAGGAAAACCCACAAAGUCAACCUCUUGGGUGGGUGGAAGGAAAGAAUGGAAGAAAUUUUUAAAAAGACAUUUUUUGUUCAAAAUGGAAUCACUUGCUCAAGACAAAAGCAAAAUAAAAUGAAACAGGAAGAACCCCAAAUUACAAAUAUUAUCAAGAGCUUAGUGUUAUUUACAAAUUGAUUUGAAUAAAUGCAAUUGCUUUUUGUAUGCAUCUAUAUAUAUUUGAAUUUAUAUGUGUAUUUUUACUGGUUUUAUUAAAAAUGUUUUCUAAUCACAAAAU
Molecule: long non-coding RNA, 831 nt
Filed under: Homo sapiens (human)
Lineage: Eukaryota; Metazoa; Chordata; Mammalia; Primates; Hominidae
Description: HSALNT0143882
Source: RNAcentral